UACGUAGGGUGCAAGCGUUGUCCGGAAUUAUUGGGCGUAAAGAGCUCGUAGGCGGCUCAUUGCGUCAACCGUGAAAACCAGCAGCUCAACUGUUGGCUUGCGGUUGAUACGGGUGGGCUGGAGUUCGGUAGGGGAGACUGGAAUUCCUGGUGUAGCGGUGAAAUGCGCAGAUAUCAGGAGGAACACCGGUGGCGAAGGCGGGUCUCUGGGCCGAUACUGACGCUGAGGAGCGAAAGCGUGGGGAGCGAACAGG
RNAcentral lists this ribosomal RNA (253 nucleotides) under uncultured bacterium. RNAcentral's name for it is "partial 16S ribosomal RNA". It matches the Rfam family "Bacterial small subunit ribosomal RNA", at positions 524 to 776 of the family's 1533-position model. The record is from RNAcentral.